ACCACCUACUUUGUUCUACUCGUGCCUUAGCACUCCCCCUGUGCCCUGUACUUCCAGAAGUUUAGCCCUUUGUUAGGGCAUCUAGUCUAUAACAUGGCAAGCUACUGUCUAUAACUGAUUUUAGUUAUAUUCUGCUGGAUUUGUACCUCACUCUACUAUAGCACGCUUUAAAAAUGCACAGGGGAAUUGUAGGCAGAGAGGGCACAAAGUACAGCAAAAGAAAAGUACACAGCAAGUUGUGUGUCUGGGAGGGUCAGGAAGGAGUCACACACGGUGACACCACAUCCAAGGGCAAAAUUACUUUCUUUAUUGAACAUAUUUUUUAAUCCCGCCUCUCUCCUUCAAAAGGACCCAAGUUAUGAUCGUUCUUGAUACAAAGCCUCCGGAACUACUGAGUACAGUACUGUGCGCCAGUUAUCCGCCCGAUGCCCUUAUUAGGAGGAAAGGCCCUAAACCUCCCCUUCGAUGAGGAAAUCAGAUCAUAAAUAUCCUCCCCGCCACCCACCCGCACCCAGAGGUGGUUUAAGCGUGCAAGAGGCGGCCUGAGGCGUCCUCCCGGGAGCUGCCUCAGGACCCAGCCUCUCUCUCCAAAAAGCCGCUCCCUUCGACCGUCUCGGCACCUGCUCGAACUUGAGCGGCUCUUUGCUUUAUGAACAGCGAGGGCUCCUCCGUCGUCUCCGGACAGCCCCGAACGAGGAGAGUCGUGGGGAAGGUUUGAGAGAGAGAAAGAAAAGAGUUCACAGGACCAGCGAAACCGCGCCUUUGGAGGAAGAGGCGGCAGCAGCAGCCGCCAUCGCGCGGAUUUUCACUUUCGCUACUUCGAGCGGCCGGGACGCCGGGACGACGCGACGGCCAUGUGGGGACUGUUCUGGGCUCUGCUCCUGCUUCUUCGGUUGGAGCUUCCGCUCGGGGCCUCGCCAGAAGAACAGUGUCAUCAGAAUACCAUCGGUGGCAUUGAAGGAAAAGAUAUUGCUUUACACCCAAAUGUUAGUGGCUCGCCAGCAGAGAUUACCUGGAUGAAAGACAGAAAUAUAGUGGCUACGUCAAUUGAUGGUUUUCCAACAAAGAACAAUUUAGAGCUUAUCGUUAAUAAUGGUAGUUUGAUUCUCCACAACCUGUCACUGAAAGAUGUUGGAUGUUACAAAGCUGAAAUUGAAGUUAAAGAUGAAGUAACAGAAACAUUUUUUGGUUUGAAAGUAUUAGUACCACCUAGUUUAACCUGCUCUACCAAUGAUAGCAUCCAAAUAAGCUGCAAUCUGCCCACCAACAUGCUGGAUCUGUCACCAUCAUAUGAGUGGAAAGGCUUUGAAAAAGAUGAAAUUAUUCAUUCUAAUUGGUCUUUUGUGCAACUUCACAAAAACAUAGACCCUUCUAAGAAAAUCACGUGCAUCAUUACUGCUUUCAAUGUAAAUGUGAGCAACUCCAUCAAUUUGAAUGAAUGUAUCCGGAAAGAUCAUCAGAUUGGAGGUAGAAGUAGAAUUCAGAUUCUCUUGGCUGUAAUCAUUGUAGCGCUGGUGGUAAUAGGAAGUUACAUUUACCUAAUAAAAGCCACUGCUCAGAAUGAAGGAGGAAUCUGUCCAAAUGCAAAGUAUGAUCCUAUGCCAUCUCCAGAAGGAGGAAACAUAAGUGAUAAUCAGCCAGAUGUUAACCUAGACUCAGCUGAGAACUUGGAAGGAAGCAGAGAGGAAUCGUCUCCACCAGAAAGUUGAGAACAAAAAGGAGAAUUCCAGGGUUGGAACUGAGGAACUUUGCAAAGCAACACACUUGUUUCGUUCCAGCCGUCUGCUCUUGGCACACAUGUGCAGCGCUUCAGGAGUAAUGGCCUACAGAGGGACUCAUCCAUGGGUGAACCAUAUCAUCUUCUUAUGAGUGGCCUAGCAGUAUUCAUGCUUAUCUCCUCAAAAAAGACACUCAUGUUUUGCACUGAAAACUGAAAAAGGGGAUUUUUGCACUGAAAAGGUGGAUAUUUUCUCAAACACCUGUUUUUAUAUGUAAUACUUUAAAACAUUUUACAUUUAGUGCUUUUUUAAAAUUUAUUUACAGAGCUAACAGAAGGAAAACCCACUAGUCAAUAUCUGGAAGGCUAAAAUAAAAUAAAAUGUGCUUGCUGCCA
Pogona vitticeps (central bearded dragon) is the source of this 2113-nucleotide long non-coding RNA. Ensembl lists it as uncharacterized. The record is from Ensembl. Lineage: Eukaryota; Metazoa; Chordata; Lepidosauria; Squamata; Agamidae.